UAGGGAGCCAUCUAUCACCAUGCAGGACUUAAAGCUUCUAAGUUCUGCUUGAAUAAACUCCUUUUCCAACAAUUCUCUGCACAAAAAAUUAAACGAUAGUAUUUGUUUUAUUGCAAAUGACACGGACACCAGUUUACUUGUCUACCGGAGUUGAAGAAAUGCCAAGGAAAAGGUAAGUUUCAAUUUUAUUAACAUAGGUGACAAAUAUUUGAUUAGCCGAUUCAUACUGAAAUCAGCUGAACAGCUAUAAAUGCAAAUUAGCUGAGAAUGUAGUCGCGUACGAUGGUGUGGGGGAGGGAUUGGGGGUUAGAGGACCUUUUCACUCCCCCGGCACUUGUGGACUGCUUUGUUCAAAUGUCUUUGCUAUUCAUUUCAACCUGAUCAGUGAAAAACAGGAAAGGCUUGCAGAGCUUGGACAAGUUCACCUUUUUGGGAGUCAGUUUCGACAUGUGCAGAGGUAAGACGUUUUGAAGAAGGAACCCAGCAGACUUGAAGUUAUUAGCCUUACUGGCCCUCCCCAAACAGACUCACAAAACUCUG
This 540-nucleotide long non-coding RNA is filed under the name Chinchilla lanigera (long-tailed chinchilla). RNAcentral describes it as "lncRNA (ENSCLAG00000026237.1)". The record is from RNAcentral. Lineage: Eukaryota; Metazoa; Chordata; Mammalia; Rodentia; Chinchillidae.